Molecule: ribosomal RNA, 468 nt
Filed under: uncultured bacterium
Lineage: Bacteria
Description: partial 16S ribosomal RNA
Rfam family: Bacterial small subunit ribosomal RNA
Source: RNAcentral
GGCGAACGCUGGCGGCGGGCUUAACACAUGCAAGUCGAACGGAAAGGCCCUGCUUUUGUGCGGUGCUCGAUUGGCGAACGGGUGAGUAACACGUGAGUAACCUGCCCUUGACUUUGGGAUAACUUCAGGAAACUGGGGCUAAUACCGGAUAGGAGCUCCUGCUGCAUGGUGGGGGUUGGAAAGUUUCGGCGGUUGGGGAUGGACUCGCGGCUUAUCAGCUUGUUGGUUGGGUAGUUGCUUACCAAGGCUUUGACGGGUAGCCGGCCUGAGAGGGUGACCGGCCACAUUGGGACUGAGAUACGGACCAGAGUGCUACGGGAGGCAGCAGUGGGGAAUAUUGCACAAUGGGAGGAAGCCUGAGGCAGCAACGCCGCGUGCGGGAUGACGGCCUUCGGGUUGUAAACCGCUUUCGCCUGUGACGAAGCGUGACUGACGGUAAUGGGUAAAGAAGCACCGGCUAACUACGUG